Non-coding RNA from Phellopilus nigrolimitatus, 82 nucleotides. Lineage: Eukaryota; Fungi; Basidiomycota; Agaricomycetes; Hymenochaetales; Hymenochaetaceae. The record is from the annotation of a GenBank genome assembly.
GCAUUAAUGGGGUAGUGGUAACCUGGGUCGUUGCCAAUCGAUGUACGUCGACCCGCCGGGGGUUCGAUUCCCUCUUAAUGCA